Molecule: ribosomal RNA, 1212 nt
Filed under: Staphylococcus aureus
Lineage: Bacteria; Bacillati; Bacillota; Bacilli; Caryophanales; Staphylococcaceae
Description: bacterial SSU rRNA
Rfam family: Bacterial small subunit ribosomal RNA
Source: RNAcentral
CGUGCCUAAUACAUGCAAGUCGAGCGAACGGACGAGAAGCUUGCUUCUCUGAUGUUAGCGGCGGACGGGUGAGUAACACGUGGAUAACCUACCUAUAAGACUGGGAUAACUUCGGGAAACCGUAGCUAAUACCGGAUAAUAUUUUGAACCGCAUGGUUCAAAAGUGAAAGACGGUCUUGCUGUCACUUAUAGAUGGAUCCGCGCUGCAUUAGCUAGUUGGUAAGGUAACGGCUUACCAAGGCAACGAUGCAUAGCCGACCUGAGAGGGUGAUCGGCCACACUGGAACUGAGACACGGUCCAGACUCCUACGGGAGGCAGCAGUAGGGAAUCUUCCGCAAUGGGCGAAAGCCUGACGGAGCAACGCCGCGUGAGUGAUGAAGGUCUUCGGAUCGUAAAACUCUGUUAUUAGGGAAGAACAUAUGUGUAAGUAACUGUGCACAUCUUGACGGUACCUAAUCAGAAAGCCACGGCUAACUACGUGCCAGCAGCCGCGGUAAUACGUAGGUGGCAAGCGUUAUCCGGAAUUAUUGGGCGUAAAGCGCGCGUAGGCGGUUUUUUAAGUCUGAUGUGAAAGCCCACGGCUCAACCGUGGAGGGUCAUUGGAAACUGGAAAACUUGAGUGCAGAAGAGGAAAGUGGAAUUCCAUGUGUAGCGGUGAAAUGCGCAGAGAUAUGGAGGAACACCAGUGGCGAAGGCGACUUUCUGGUCUGUAACUGACGCUGAUGUGCGAAAGCGUGGGGAUCAAACAGGAUUAGAUACCCUGGUAGUCCACGCCGUAAACGAUGAGUGCUAAGUGUUAGGGGGUUUCCGCCCCUUAGUGCUGCAGCUAACGCAUUAAGCACUCCGCCUGGGGAGUACGACCGCAAGGUUGAAACUCAAAGGAAUUGACGGGGACCCGCACAAGCGGUGGAGCAUGUGGUUUAAUUCGAAGCAACGCGAAGAACCUUACCAAAUCUUGACAUCCUUUGACAACUCUAGAGAUAGAGCCUUCCCCUUCGGGGGACAAAGUGACAGGUGGUGCAUGGUUGUCGUCAGCUCGUGUCGUGAGAUGUUGGGUUAAGUCCCGCAACGAGCGCAACCCUUAAGCUUAGUUGCCAUCAUUAAGUUGGGCACUCUAAGUUGACUGCCGGUGACAAACCGGAGGAAGGUGGGGAUGACGUCAAAUCAUCAUGCCCCUUAUGAUUUGGGCUACACACGUGCUACAAUGGACA